This 72-nucleotide transfer RNA is filed under the name Bos taurus (domestic cattle). It matches the Rfam family "tRNA". From Rfam's summary of the family: Transfer RNA (tRNA) molecules are approximately 80 nucleotides in length. Their secondary structure includes four short double-helical elements and three loops (D, anti-codon, and T loops). Lineage: Eukaryota; Metazoa; Chordata; Mammalia; Artiodactyla; Bovidae. RNAcentral also lists the same sequence under 4 other names. The record is from Rfam by way of RNAcentral.
UUCCAGGUGGCUUAGUGGUAAAGAAUCUGCCUGCCAGUGCAGGAGAUGCAGGUUCAAUCCCUGUGCUGGAAA